AAAAAAAAAAAAAAAAAAAAAAAUAUACUCAUCUUUCCUUUUGAAUGGCUCAACAAAAAAAAUUCAAGACCUCAUCAGUAAUAAUAGUGAGACAACCUAAAUGCCAAAACACAAUCUUCAGAUGGUAGAAACAUUGCCCACGGAGUGAUACAUGUCAGCCAAGCACAACUGGCGAUCUCUAUCAUCCCCCCAGCCCCCCCAUCCCUUGAACCCAGCUUUAUACCCUGGUUGAUUCUCAUAAACAUGCACUUUCCACUUUGAAUUGAUGUUUGCUACCUUAUUAACAUCGUCUACUACAAUAUUUACUGAACCAUUGUCAAUGCACGCAUUUUUCUCCCCAUGUCCCUGAUGCAAACCACACUUCCCAAAAUGAACAGCACUAGUCCUUGGCCCACGUAGUGUGUAAACUGGACCACCAAAUGAGGGAUAAACUGUUGCCCACAUCGUUAUAUCCCAAUUGUAAUCAUCAAAGAAACAAAACUCUCUUGCCUUCGUAUGAAUUUUUCUCCAAGUAGUUCGAUUAAAGGAAUAACCCACAUUUCCCAUUCUCUCAGCAACUAAACUUUCCCAAUUUUCUCCUCUUGAAUUCACAUCAGAAGGUGCUAAAUUUGCAGCAUAGCAAUCUGGACAUUUCAGAGGCUUUAAUGCUGUGAGCAUCUGCAAGUUCCGAUAUGCAUUGGGAAAAAUGAAGUGAUCCUCCUCUAUGAAAAGAAUAUGACCUGACUGCCCCUUUGUCUCUUUCAGACCAUCCCAUACAGUGUUCAUCAUCCACCACCAAUGAUGCUU
RNAcentral lists this unclassified non-coding RNA (786 nucleotides) under Hevea brasiliensis (rubber tree). Lineage: Eukaryota; Viridiplantae; Streptophyta; Magnoliopsida; Malpighiales; Euphorbiaceae. The record is from RNAcentral.